RNAcentral lists this ribosomal RNA (540 nucleotides) under uncultured bacterium. Its description in RNAcentral is "bacterial SSU rRNA". It matches the Rfam family "Bacterial small subunit ribosomal RNA", at positions 355 to 896 of the family's 1533-position model. The record is from RNAcentral.
UGAGGAAUAUUGGUCAAUGGACGGAAGUCUGAACCAGCCAAGUAGCGUGCAGGAUGACGGCCCUAUGGGUUGUAAACUGCUUUUGUAUGGGGAUAAAGUCAAUCACGUGUGAUUGUUUGCAGGUACCAUACGAAUAAGGACCGGCUAAUUCCGUGCCAGCAGCCGCGGUAAUACGGAAGGUUCGGGCGUUAUCCGGAUUUAUUGGGUUUAAAGGGAGCGUAGGCCGGAGAUUAAGUGUGUUGUGAAAUGUAGACGCUCAACGUCUGACUUGCAGCGCAUACUGGUUUCCUUGAGUACGCACAACGUUGGCGGAAUUCGUCGUGUAGCGGUGAAAUGCUUAGAUAUGACGAAGAACUCCGAUUGCGAAGGCAGCUGACGGGAGCGCAACUGACGCUGAAGCUCGAAGGUGCGGGUAUCGAACAGGAUUAGAUACCCUGGUAGUCCGCACAGUAAACGAUGGAUGCCCGCUGUUGGUACCUGGUAUCAGCGGCUAAGCGAAAGCAUUAAGCAUCCCACCUGGGGAGUACGCCGGCAACGGUG